RNAcentral lists this ribosomal RNA (270 nucleotides) under uncultured eukaryote. RNAcentral's name for it is "partial small subunit ribosomal RNA". It matches the Rfam family "Eukaryotic small subunit ribosomal RNA", at positions 1161 to 1452 of the family's 1831-position model. The record is from RNAcentral.
AGGGCACCACCAGGUGUGGAGCCUGCGGCUUAAUUUGACUCAACACGGGGAAACUCACCAGGUCCAGACACGACAAGGAUUGACAGAUUGAUAGCUCUUUCUUGAUUUCGUGGUUGGUGGUGCAUGGCCGUUCUUAGUUGGUGGAGUGAUUUGUCUGGUUAAUUCCGAUAACGAACGAGACCUUAACCUGCUAAAUAGCCCGGCCGACUUUGGUUGGCCGCUGGCUUCUUAGAGGGACUAUCAGCGUUUAGCUGAUGGAAGUUUGAGGCA